RNAcentral lists this ribosomal RNA (21 nucleotides) under Monopylephorus irroratus. Its description in RNAcentral is "partial 28S ribosomal RNA". The record is from RNAcentral. Lineage: Eukaryota; Metazoa; Annelida; Clitellata; Tubificida; Naididae.
CGACCUGAGAUCGGACGAGAU